GAAGAUUUGGCUGAGCAUUACAGGAGUGGUUGGGGGAUCAUCACUAAUAAAUGUGACACAGCAAGCCUACGGUAGACCCUUUAUUCUGUGAAAUGAUUUCAAUUCAAGGAAUCUAUUACUGCAUUAUCCAUUCAUAUUAGAACACAUUAUCUCCUUUUAUAAAUGAACGAUUUCUAUUUUGUCCAUAUUGUCCAGUUUUCAUCCACAAUUCCAUUCCCAGCAUCUCCUCCUUAGAGAUGACUUCCAUAUCAAUCACACCAAAUGUCCUUUACCUGUAACAAAAGACAGAAUAACCUGGUCAUAUUUUGCCUUACCAUUCUAAAAGGAAGUAAGCAAACAUUACUUGAUCUACAGAAAUCCAUGCAAGCGCAUGUCACACUGUUAACGUUUAC
Molecule: non-coding RNA, 392 nt
Organism: Pelobates cultripes (western spadefoot toad)
Lineage: Eukaryota; Metazoa; Chordata; Amphibia; Anura; Pelobatidae
Source: the annotation of a GenBank genome assembly